This 457-nucleotide ribosomal RNA is filed under the name uncultured bacterium. RNAcentral describes it as "partial 16S ribosomal RNA". It matches the Rfam family "Bacterial small subunit ribosomal RNA", at positions 338 to 795 of the family's 1533-position model. The record is from RNAcentral.
CCUACGGGUGGCAGCAGUGGGGAAUCUUGCACACUGGGGGAAACCCUGAUGCAGCGACGCCGCGUGAGUGAAGAAGUAUUUCGGUAUGUAAAGCUCUAUCAGCAGGGACGAAAUAGCGACCUUUGGGUCGCCAGACGGUACCUGACUAAGAAGCCCCGGCUAACUCCGUGCCAGCAGCCGCGGUAAUACGGCGGAUGCGAGCGUCAUCCGGAUUUAUUGGGUUUAAAGGGUGCGUAGGCGGACUGUUAAGUCAGCGGUAAAAGCCCGGGGCUCAACCCCGGCGAGCCGUGGAAACUGGCUGGCUGGAGAUGUCGAGAAGUAUGCGGAAUGCGCAGUGUAGCGGUGAAAUGCUUAGAUAUUGCGCAGAACUCCGAUUGCGAAGGCAGCAUACCGGCGGCGAUCUGACGCUGAGGCACGAAAGCGUGGGUAUCGAACAGGAUUAGAUACCCUUGUAGUC